RNAcentral lists this transfer RNA (58 nucleotides) under Oxyrrhis marina. Lineage: Eukaryota; Dinophyceae; Oxyrrhinales; Oxyrrhinaceae. The record is from RNAcentral.
CGUGGCUUAGUGGCUAAGCCGCCAGGCUCCUAACCUGGGGGGCUUGGGUUCGAGCCCG